GUGGAGUUCUGGGUGGGAAGCCGAGUGCUGCCUCCAGCAAGGGUGCAAAUGUGUUUAUUCCAGAGCUACUUGGAACUGAUUGAGUAAUGAAGAAAAUGUGCCUGUAGAGUAGGUGCCUGGAGAACCAACCUCAGCUGCACUUUGACCUUUGGACCAAUUCUGCCUCUGCUUCACUAGUACUAUUUUGGCAUGAGGACAGAGCAUGCACUGAUGACUUGGGAGGGUCUUAGUACAAAGUUUGGACUCAUAGUGAUCC
Long non-coding RNA from Octodon degus (degu), 256 nucleotides. RefSeq lists it as uncharacterized. The record is from RefSeq and is a predicted model, not a curated record. The transcript has 3 exons. Lineage: Eukaryota; Metazoa; Chordata; Mammalia; Rodentia; Octodontidae.